RNAcentral lists this ribosomal RNA (744 nucleotides) under uncultured bacterium. RNAcentral describes it as "bacterial SSU rRNA". It matches the Rfam family "Bacterial small subunit ribosomal RNA", at positions 113 to 891 of the family's 1533-position model. The record is from RNAcentral.
ACACGUGGGAACAUACCCUUUGGUUCGGAAUAACUCAGGGAAACUUGAGCUAAUACCGGAUAAGUCGGCAACGAGAAAGAUUCAUCGCCGAAGGAUUGGCCCGCGUCCGAUUAGCUAGUUGGUGUGGUAAUGGCGCGCCAAGGCGACGAUCGGUAGCUGGUCUGAGAGGAUGAUCAGCCACAUUGGGACUGAGACACGGCCCAAACUCCUACGGGAGGCAGCAAUGGGGAAUAUUGGACAAUGGGCGCAAGCCUGAUCCAGCCAUGCCGCGUGAGUGAUGACGGCCCUAGGGUUGUAAAGCUCUUUCACCCACGACGAUAAUGACGGUAGUGGGAGAAGAAGCCCCGGCUAACUUCGUGCCAGCAGCCGCGGUAAUACGAAGGGGGCUAGCGUUGUUCGGAUUUACUGGGCGUAAAGCGCACGUAGACGGAUCUUUAAGUCAGGGGUGAAAUGCCGGAGCUCAACUUCGGAACUGCCUUUGAUACUGGAGAUCUUGAGUUCGGGAGAGGUGAGUGGAAUUGCGAGUGUAGAGGUGAAAUUCGUAGAUAUUCGCAGGAACACCAGUGGCGAAGGCGGCUCACUGGCCCGAUACUGACGCUGAGGCGCGAAAGCUAGGGGAGCAAACGGGAUUAGAUACCCCGGUAGUCCUAGCCGUAAACGAUGGGCACUAGGUGUGGGAGGUAUUGACCCCUUCUGUGCCGCAGCUAACGCAUUAAGUGCCCCGCCUGGGGAGUACGGCCGCAA